UGGUCAAGUUAUUAAGGGUGCAGGGCGGAUGCCUUGGCACUAGGAGCCGAUGAAGGACGUGAUAAGCUGCGAUAAGCUUCGGGGAGUUGCACGUAAACUUUGAUCCGAAGAUUUCCGAAUGAGGAAACUCACUUAGAGUAAUGUCUAAGUAUCAUUAAGUGAAUACAUAGCUUAAUGAGGGGAACUCAGGGAACUGAAACAUCUAAGUACCUGAAGGAAGAGAAAGAAAUUCGAUUCCGUAAGUAGCGGCGAGCGAACGCGGAUUAGCCCAAACCAAUAAAGUUUUCUUUAUUGGGGUUGCGGACAUAUCAUAACGAAGAGGUAUCGUAAUUGAAGAGGUUUGGAAAGACCCACCACAGAAGGUAAUAGUCCUGUAUGUUAAACGAGAAGACUUCAGAUAUGAUCCAGAGUACCACGGGACACGUGAAACCCUGUGGGAAGCAGGAGGGACCACCCUCCAAGGCUAAAUACUACCUAGUGACCGAUAGCGUAUAGUACCGUGAGGGAAAGGUGAAAAGAACCCCGGGAGGGGAGUGAAAUAGAACCUGAAACCCUGCACUUACAAGCUGUGGAAGCACAUUUCUUGUGUGACCUCGUACUUUUUGUAGAACGGGCCAACGAGUUACGUUAAGUAGCAAGGUUAAGCACUUAAGGUG
This 656-nucleotide ribosomal RNA is filed under the name Clostridioides difficile. Its description in RNAcentral is "bacterial LSU rRNA". It matches the Rfam family "Bacterial large subunit ribosomal RNA", at positions 1 to 660 of the family's 2925-position model. The record is from RNAcentral. Lineage: Bacteria; Bacillati; Bacillota; Clostridia; Peptostreptococcales; Peptostreptococcaceae.